This 206-nucleotide long non-coding RNA is filed under the name Elaeis guineensis (African oil palm). RNAcentral's name for it is "long non-coding RNA (EGUI_LNC023440)". Lineage: Eukaryota; Viridiplantae; Streptophyta; Magnoliopsida; Arecales; Arecaceae. The record is from RNAcentral.
UCCCCCUCUCCUUAUCGUGCAUGUGGUGGAGCAGCUCUCCCUCUCCCUUUCUCUCUCUCUACCCCUCUCAUGCAUGUGGGCAGUCAGCUCUCCCUCUCCCUCAGCUCGUCUAUAUUGGUUGAUUAGAAGGUAAGGUGUUUAUUUUAUUUUUUUUGUUUGUUAUUCUUUUUAUUUUAUCUUUUUUUGAUAGAUAUGUGGGGAAGGAG